This 180-nucleotide ribosomal RNA is filed under the name uncultured Glomeromycotina. RNAcentral's name for it is "partial small subunit ribosomal RNA". The stretch from base 90 to 180 matches the Rfam family "Eukaryotic small subunit ribosomal RNA", at positions 735 to 828 of the family's 1831-position model. The record is from RNAcentral. Lineage: Eukaryota; Fungi; Glomeromycota.
GGCCUGGCUGGGCGGUCUUGCCGCAAGGUAAGCACUGCUCCGGUCGGGUCUUUCCUUCUGGGGAGCCAGCGUGCUCUUAACUGAGUGCGUUGGGGAUCCAGGACUUUUACUUUGAAAAAAUUAGAGUGUUUAAAGCAGGCAAACGCUUGAAUACGUUAGCAUGGAAUAAUAGAAUAGGAC